Long non-coding RNA from Hibiscus syriacus, 527 nucleotides. RefSeq lists it as uncharacterized. The transcript has 4 exons. NCBI's taxonomy places the organism in Eukaryota, Viridiplantae, Streptophyta, Magnoliopsida, Malvales, Malvaceae. The record is from RefSeq and is a predicted model, not a curated record.
AUUUCCCUUGUGGAAAACAUCAUCGAUUCUCUUGCGCUCGCUUCCUCUUCAAAGAAAAAACUACAAAUGGCUACUUUGGCGGCAGUUGCAGCUCGUAGAGCAGCCGCUCUAGCUCGGAAACCGGCUCCGCCUCGAGCCGCUUCUCUCAUCCCUCGCCGUGGUCUUACCGGCGCAGCAGAUCACCAUGGACCUUUGAAGGUUAAUUUUUAGCAAGAUCCAAUGAAUCCAGCUAAAUGGAAAGAACAUUUCGUUAUAGUCUCUUUAACUGGAUGGGGUCUUCUUUUCUUUAGUGGAUACAAGUUCUUCACUAAAGGCGAGAAGGAAGAGAAUGCUGUGGAAACGACACACUAAAGAGGUUGGGGCUUUUAUUUUAUUUUUAUAUUUUUUACGAUAUUUCGAGUUAUAAUGUGCGUCCGGAACGUUCAUGCCCUUGGAUGUUUUUGCUUCAUUUUGUUGGCAAAUUCUUCGGUUUUCCUGUUCACCGUUUCGUUUAUGACGAUGGAGUAAACUUGGAGAUCAGUUCUACC